RNAcentral lists this ribosomal RNA (223 nucleotides) under uncultured bacterium. Its description in RNAcentral is "partial 16S ribosomal RNA". It matches the Rfam family "Bacterial small subunit ribosomal RNA", at positions 524 to 741 of the family's 1533-position model. The record is from RNAcentral.
UACGUAGGGUCCGAGCGUUGUCUGGAAUUACUGGGCGUAAAGAGCUCGUAGGUGGUUUUGUCGCGUUGUUCGUGAAAAACUCACAGCUUAACUGUGGGCGUGCGGGCGAUACGGGCAGACUUGAGUACUGCAGGGGGAGACUGGAAUUCCUGGUGUAGCGGUGGAAUGCGCAGAUAUCAGGAGGAACACCGGUGGCGAAGGGCGGCACUCUGGGGACGGUACU